AUGGCUCAGGAUGAACGCUAGCUACAGGCUUAACACAUGCAAGUCGAGGGGCAGCAUGAUCAAAGCUUGCUUUGAUUGAUGGCGACCGGCGCACGGGUGAGUAACGCGUAUCCAACCUUCCCUAUAGUAGUGGAUAGCCCGGCGAAAGUCGGAUUAAUACACUAUGUUGUAUUUAGAGGACAUCUGAAGAAUACCAAAGGUUUACCGCUAUAGGAUGGGGGAUGCGUCUGAUUAGAUAGUAGGCGGGGUAACGGCCCACCUAGUCGACGAUCAGUAGGGUUCUGAGAGGAAGGUCCCCCACAUUGGAACUGAGACACGGUCCAAACUCCUACGGGAGGCAGCAGUGAGGAAUAUUGGUCAAUGGACGGGAGUCUGAACCAGCCAAGUAGCGUGCCAGGAUGACGGCCCUAUGGGUUGUAAACUGCUUUUAUACGGGGAUAAAGUGAGCCACGUGUGGCUUUUUGUAGGUACCGUAUGAAUAAGGACCGGCUAAUUCCGUGCCAGCAGCAGC
This 511-nucleotide ribosomal RNA is filed under the name uncultured bacterium. RNAcentral describes it as "bacterial SSU rRNA". It matches the Rfam family "Bacterial small subunit ribosomal RNA", at positions 19 to 518 of the family's 1533-position model. The record is from RNAcentral.